RNAcentral lists this ribosomal RNA (135 nucleotides) under uncultured eukaryote. RNAcentral describes it as "partial 18S ribosomal RNA". It matches the Rfam family "Eukaryotic small subunit ribosomal RNA", at positions 1299 to 1458 of the family's 1831-position model. The record is from RNAcentral.
UGGUGGAUUGAUUUGUCUGGUUUAUUCCGAUAACGAACGAGACUCUAUCCUACUAAAUAGAUUUUGGAUUUUUAAGUCCAGUAAACUUCUUAGAGGGAUAAGCGGUGUUUAACCGCACGAGAUUGAGCGAUAACA